AGCAGUCGCCGCGGUAAUACGUAGGUGGCAAGCGUUGUCCGGAAUUAUUGGGCGUAAAGGGCUCGCAGGCGGUUUCUUAAGUCUGAUGUGAAAGCCCCUGGCUCAACCGGGGAGGGUCAUUGGAAACUGGGAAACUUGAGUGCAGAAGAGGAGAGUGGAAUUCCACGUGUAGCGGUGAAAUGCGUAGAGAUGUGGAGGAACACCAGUGGCGAAGGCGACUCUCUGGUCUGUAACUGACGCUGAGGAGCGAAAGCGUGGGGAGCGAACAGGAUUAGAUACCCCAGUAGUCCCUGUCUCUUAUAC
RNAcentral lists this ribosomal RNA (303 nucleotides) under uncultured bacterium. RNAcentral's name for it is "partial 16S ribosomal RNA". It matches the Rfam family "Bacterial small subunit ribosomal RNA", at positions 507 to 807 of the family's 1533-position model. The record is from RNAcentral.